UACGAAGGGGGCUAGCGUUGCUCGGAAUGACUGGGUGUAAAGGGCGUGUAGGCGGUUUUGCCAGUCAGAUGUGAAAUCCCCGGGCUUAACCUUGGAGCUGCAUUUGAGACGUUAAGACUAGAGUGUGAGAGAGGGUGGUGGAAUUACCAGUGUAGAGGUGAAAUUCGUAGAUAUUGGGAAGAACACCGGUGGCGAAGGCGGCAACCUGGCUCAUUACUGACGCUGAGGCGCGAAAGCGUGGGGAGCAAACAGG
RNAcentral lists this ribosomal RNA (253 nucleotides) under uncultured bacterium. Its description in RNAcentral is "partial 16S ribosomal RNA". It matches the Rfam family "Bacterial small subunit ribosomal RNA", at positions 524 to 776 of the family's 1533-position model. The record is from RNAcentral.